AUGUGCUCCAAGGCGGCGCCUUCAAGAAGGGUUCGACACCGGAGCGCCGCCACCGCCCAAUCCAAAGAUCAGAGUUUCCCCUGGAGCCGCAUGACGGGCAAUGAGAGCCGCAACGACGCCUUUAAGAAGGGAACGAUCUUCGCCACCGCCGGUCCGUCCGAAGAUAGAACAUGUUUUCACCUCGGCCAACACUCACCGCCACCGAACGCCACACCCCGGCAACCACACCGCCCACACAGCCAUGGUGACCGGGCAAUGCCAAGGCAUGGGCUCCGCCCAAGAGCACCGCGCUACCACCACCAGGGCCGCCGCCCCGGCAUCCAAGACCUUGACACCACCUCACCCGAGACCCGCCGCAACCCCAACGAAAGAGACGAGCAGAAAGGUCCCACCUUUCGCACCCCUGGGCGACCCCAGCGUCGAGACCCAAUAGGCCGGACAGAACUGGCAUCCACCGACCCGUCCUGCUGCCCCGAGCGCGAGACGAGCUCGGUCCUGCAGCACCGAGAGGGGGACGAGGUCAGUCCUGCUGCACCGUGCGCGAGACGAGCUCGGUCCUGCAGCAUCGGGCGCGAGACGAGCGGUGGACCGCAGCUGGGAGAGGACCAGUCCUUUGAUGAGAGUAGCGGCCGGGCGACGAGGAGAUGGAGCAAAGGUCGAGACGGUCCGCACGCAGACGAGCCGACGCCGGAGAAGCCGGCCGCUGUCGCGGGCAGAACCGUCGAGCCACCGUGA
RNAcentral lists this ribosomal RNA (735 nucleotides) under Triticum aestivum (bread wheat). Its description in RNAcentral is "partial small subunit ribosomal RNA". The record is from RNAcentral. Lineage: Eukaryota; Viridiplantae; Streptophyta; Magnoliopsida; Poales; Poaceae.